RNAcentral lists this ribosomal RNA (184 nucleotides) under uncultured bacterium. RNAcentral's name for it is "partial 16S ribosomal RNA". It matches the Rfam family "Bacterial small subunit ribosomal RNA", at positions 1319 to 1500 of the family's 1533-position model. The record is from RNAcentral.
CAUGAAGCUGGAAUCGCUAGUAAUCGCAGAUCAGAAUGCUGCGGUGAAUACGUUCCCGGGUCUUGUACACACCGCCCGUCACACCAUGGGAGUCGGAAAUGCCCGAAGUCGGUGACCCAACCGUUUACGGAGGGAGCUGCCGAAGGCAGGUCUGGUGACUGGGGUGAAGUCGUAACAAGGUAUC